Long non-coding RNA from Mesocricetus auratus (golden hamster), 907 nucleotides. RefSeq lists it as uncharacterized. The record is from RefSeq and is a predicted model, not a curated record. NCBI's taxonomy places the organism in Eukaryota, Metazoa, Chordata, Mammalia, Rodentia, Cricetidae. The transcript is spliced from 3 exons.
UUAAAUAUGAGUUUCUUUAAAUUCACAUUUGCUUCGCCCAAUGUUUCUUUUAGGAUAAGCCAGUCUAAUUGAAGUUUUGAGUGUCUGGAAUGACAGCUCAAUUUUUUUGAGCAUUGGCUCCUCCUCUUUUAGAAUUGGGAUGACUUUCAUGCACCUAGAUUGUAACUCUAUUUGAACAGGAUUAUAUUUCUGCCUCCGGUCUACACUAGCACCAGGAAAUUGUGUGCUAUAAAGACAGGCAUUUAGGGAAACAUUUAUAAACUAAAUUGUUUUUUGGGUUUUUUUUUGGUUUUUUUUCUUGCUGAGCCAUCCUGUAGGCCCAGAGUUGGCACAAGAAAGAUUCCAAUUCAUUCUGCCUCAGCACUGCUGCCUCAAAUGGAGAAAAUUUCUGCUUACAGAUGAGUCACUCAGGACAAGGCCCAGCAUGUUUUUCAAGGCCAUCUGACUUCAUGGUGAUUCAUACCAGCAGAGAACACAUGGAUCUCAGUCUCAACCAAGAAAUCAUGUGGAAAAUGUCCUCUCUUGUAAAAUGGGAGAACACUAGACCUGCCUCAAAUGCUACAGCUGCCUCAGAUUGUGUAAAAUCUUAGACACUGCAUUGGCGAUCAAACUGAGAAAAGCCAUCUUCAGCCCCCAACCCUCAAGGUCUGCCUGUGCCACAGGGAAACUCUGUCAUCUACCUGGGUAGUGGCCAACAUCACAGAGGCAGGAAAUUAUGACACUGAUGAAGCCUCUAGGGUGGUGCCUGAGACGACCUGCUCUGUGGGCUGCGAGUUCUGGUGGGGAACAACAGUGGAAGCUGAGGCAGAAACCUGGGAUGCCAGUCGACUUCCCGCGCAUGGAGAGAGAAGAAAUGUUGCUUGGGAAAAUGGAAGAAGAAAUGAAGCAAAAAAUGCAAGAAAUGGAA